CGGACGUGGGUAACCUGCCCAUCAGAGGGGGAUAACAUUCGGAAACGGAUGCUAAAACCGCAUGGGUCUUCGAACCGCAUGGUUUGAAGAGGAAAAGAGGCGCAAGCUUCUGCUGAUGGAUGGACCCGCGGUGCAUUAGCUAGUUGGUGAGGUAACGGCUCACCAAGGCCGUGAUGCAUAGCCGACCUGAGAGGGUGAUCGGCCACAUUGGGACUGAGACACGGCCCAA
This 229-nucleotide ribosomal RNA is filed under the name uncultured bacterium. RNAcentral describes it as "partial 16S ribosomal RNA". It matches the Rfam family "Bacterial small subunit ribosomal RNA", at positions 112 to 334 of the family's 1533-position model. The record is from RNAcentral.